Cyprinus carpio carpio is the source of this 1318-nucleotide long non-coding RNA. NCBI's taxonomy places the organism in Eukaryota, Metazoa, Chordata, Actinopteri, Cypriniformes, Cyprinidae. The record is from Ensembl.
UCUGUCUCCAAUCGACACCACGAGACAAACUGUCCCUUUACUUCUCACUCUACACUGUGUCCUUUCUUCUCUUCUCAGCUUAUUUCCCAAAGACCUAAGGCUCUAAUGCUUCUUUCUGCUCCCAGAAAAUGGAAACUCAAUGCCUGGGAAAAGCACAAGAAACAACUUCAGGCUAACUCUGGUCACUGCGGCUGCUCUUUGAGUUGCUCCUUCAGGACGCCAGUCUCUGUGGCUCUCCACACAUGCAGGGCACUGCUGGAGGAGGAUCAAAGAGCAGUCUGAAUCCCUAGUCUCUCCUGUCUAGACGCCAGAGACUGUCUCCAUACUCUUAGCACACAAGCUGGGAAAGCAAAGCCAAGUCCAUUCCUUCACAUGGCCCCAGCACUAAAGUUAAGUGAAGUACCUUUAUUCCUACAAACUUGUUUAAGGUGUUCAGUUUCUCCCUCCAGGGCCUUUUCCCAAACAUUCACAGUAUCGGUUUUCGGUCGGCUAAAACCACCUUAAAACAAACACACACAAACACACACAAGCUGCUCUCGCUACGGUAUGUAUGUCAUAGGAACAUCUGAAUUAACCUACAGUUUACAAUCCUCCUCCUGGUUAUUUUCCUCAGAAUGUGAAUCUGAAGUUUUUAAUUGCUUAGAGACCGAGGGAAAACAUACACUUCUCUUAUUGUUUAAUGAGUUUCGUUAGUGCCAUUAAUUCAGCACGUAUUGAGCUGAUGGAGUGACAAAUAGCUGAGAGAGCAGUGAAAGAUCACAUGCAAGCAGUGCAGGCCCAUUUAAACAGGACAAUACAAUCAUGUCAAAGAUGAACGAGGGGAUGAAACGAGAGAACAUGGGAGGGGAGAGAUAUCUAUGAACAGUGAGAACUACAGUUUAUCAUCUAUGGGACAUGUAAAUAAACAAAUAGAAAGAAUGAACAAAUGAAAUAACAAGGAGAGAAAUUAGGCAACACAAGAUUAGGGGGACAAAAUAGGGAGCUGAUUGUUGUGAAGAAUAGAGCUGGUAUGGAUGGACUGUUUAAUGAUAGACAGAUAAGAUGUCUUUACACUGUAAAAGUGACACAGAAGCAGCAGCUGACAUAAGAUACACACCUAAUGCACCUUGCAUAAGGUUUGCUUUGGAAACUAUAUGAAUUAUAAGAAGCACAAAUGCAAAAUGCAUCUGCUACUUUAUUCCCAUGCACUUAUAAGACACAAGACAUUGAUUAGGCUACUUCAAACAUUUGCAAUGUAAGUCAUCUUUGUUUAUACAGUAGAUUUGCAGCAUGGUAGUCAUAAACACUGUAUCUGUAUAAAAAGUUGUACAAUUCUCAG